RNAcentral lists this transfer RNA (74 nucleotides) under Heterocephalus glaber (naked mole-rat). It matches the Rfam family "tRNA". Rfam says of the family: Transfer RNA (tRNA) molecules are approximately 80 nucleotides in length. Lineage: Eukaryota; Metazoa; Chordata; Mammalia; Rodentia; Bathyergidae. The record is from Rfam by way of RNAcentral.
GGGGGUGUAGCUCAGUAGUGUGGAGUGCUUGCCUAGCAUGCACAAGGCCUUGGGUUCAACCCCCAGUAUCACUA